This 264-nucleotide ribosomal RNA is filed under the name uncultured Planctomycetota bacterium. Its description in RNAcentral is "uncultured planctomycete partial 16S ribosomal RNA". It matches the Rfam family "Bacterial small subunit ribosomal RNA", at positions 565 to 827 of the family's 1533-position model. Lineage: Bacteria; Pseudomonadati; Planctomycetota. The record is from RNAcentral.
GAGCACGUAGGUGGGUUUGUAAGUCAGAUGUGAAAGCCUUCUGCUCAAAGGAAGAACGGCAUCUGAAGCUGCAGAUCUUGAGUGUAGGAGGGGAGAGUGGAACUUCUGGUGGAGCGGUGAAAUGCGUAGAUAUCAGAAGGAACGUCGGCGGCGAAAGCGACUCUCUGGCCUAUUACUGACACUGAGUGUGCGAAAGUUAGGGGAGCAAACGGGAUUAGAUACCCCGGUAGUCCUAACUGUAAACGAUGGGCACUAAGUAGAGGG